This 333-nucleotide ribosomal RNA is filed under the name uncultured bacterium. RNAcentral's name for it is "bacterial SSU rRNA". It matches the Rfam family "Bacterial small subunit ribosomal RNA", at positions 28 to 334 of the family's 1533-position model. The record is from RNAcentral.
GAUGAACGCUGGCGGCGUGCUUAACACAUGCAAGUCGAACGGAGUUUACAUGUGAGCGGAGGGUGCUUGCAUCUAACAAUCUUUUGUAAACUUAGUGGCGGACGGGUGAGUAACGCGUGGGUAACCUGCCGUAUACAGGGGGACAACAGUUGGAAACGACUGCUAAUACCGCAUAAGCGCACAGGACCGCAUGGUCUGGUGUGAAAAACUCCGGUGGUAUACGAUGGACCCGCGUCCAAUUAGGUAGAUGGUGAGGUAACGGCCCACCAUGCCGACGAUUGGUAGCCGGACUGAGAGGUUGAACGGCCACAUUGGGACUGAGACACGGCCCAG